CCUACGGGGGGCAGCAGUGGGGAAUCUUGCGCAAUGGGCGAAAGCCUGACGCAGCAACGCCGCGUGCGGGAUGAAGGCCUUCGGGUUGUAAACCGCUUUCAGCAGGGACGAAAUUGACGGUACCUGCAGAAGAAGCCCCGGCCAACUACGUGCCAGCAGCCGCGGUAAUACGUAGGGGGCGAGCGUUGUCCGGAUUUAUUGGGCGUAAAGAGCUCGUAGGCGGUUGGGUAAGUCGGGUGUGAAAACUCAGGGCUCAACUCUGAGACGCCACUCGAUACUGCUCUGACUCGAGUCCGGUAGGGGAGCGUGGAAUUCCCGGUGUAGCGGUGAAAUGCGCAGAUAUCGGGAGGAACACCAGUGGCGAAGGCGGCGCUCUGGGCCGGAACUGACGCUGAGGAGCGAAAGCGUGGGUAGCAAACAGGAUUAGAUACCCUGGUAGU
Molecule: ribosomal RNA, 440 nt
Filed under: uncultured bacterium
Lineage: Bacteria
Description: bacterial SSU rRNA
Rfam family: Bacterial small subunit ribosomal RNA
Source: RNAcentral